UCCAAUUCCAGCAUGCUACGACUACCAGCAUCAAAGCUCUCGGCCAUUCACAAGGAACUGCGCAGAGUCAUACGAUGCCACGCCAUUCCACUCCGCAAUCUUGCCCGGAUAGUAGGCCUCCUAUCCACGUCCAUAGAGGCACUCUUCCUGGGGUCACUCCACUACAGGGUGAUGCAACGCCUGAAGACCUCCUUCCUUUGCCGAACCCCACCUGCGACUAACAGGUCCCAGUAACAGAGGAAUUCAAAGAGGAACUCAGAUGGUGGCUGGACAGCAUGGAGGUGUGGAAUGGACGGGCCAUCUUCUG
Molecule: non-coding RNA, 307 nt
Organism: Pelobates cultripes (western spadefoot toad)
Lineage: Eukaryota; Metazoa; Chordata; Amphibia; Anura; Pelobatidae
Source: the annotation of a GenBank genome assembly